CCUACGGGUGGCAGCAGUGAGGAAUAUUGGUCAAUGGGCGGGAGCCUGAACCAGCCAAGCCGCGUGAAGGAAGAAGGCGCUAAGCGUCGUAAACUGCUUUUGUCGGGGAACAAAGGGCGCCACGUGUGGCGUUCUGAGGGUACCCGAAGAAAAAGCAUCGGCUAACUCCGUGCCAGCAGCCGCGGUAAUACGGAGGAUGCGAGCGUUAUCCGGAUUUAUUGGGUUUAAAGGGGGCGUAGGCGGUCCGGAAAGUCAGCGGUAAAAGCCCGGGGCUCAACCCCGGCCAGCGGUUGAAACUGGCGGACUAGAGACGGCGAGAGGCACGCGGAAUGCGCGGUGUAGCGGUGAAAUGCAUAGAUAUCGCGAAGAACUCCGAUUGCGAAGGCAGCGUACCGGCGCCGGACUGACGCUGAGGCACGAAGGCGUGGGUAUCGAACAGGAUUAGAUACCCGGGUAGUC
Molecule: ribosomal RNA, 459 nt
Filed under: uncultured bacterium
Lineage: Bacteria
Description: partial 16S ribosomal RNA
Rfam family: Bacterial small subunit ribosomal RNA
Source: RNAcentral